Long non-coding RNA from Camelina sativa (false flax), 431 nucleotides. RefSeq lists it as uncharacterized. NCBI's taxonomy places the organism in Eukaryota, Viridiplantae, Streptophyta, Magnoliopsida, Brassicales, Brassicaceae. The record is from RefSeq and is a predicted model, not a curated record.
AAAUUGCCUAUAGGAAAACAAAAAGUCUCUAAUCAACCACCUGAAUUUAAACAGAAUACGCUUUCAGGGAUUUGAGAGUGUCAGAGGAAUGUACUUUCAUGAAAAAUAGAGAAUCAACAAUUCAUACAUUAAUGCAUUGGUCAUAUUGACUUAUGUACGCCGAGGUUUUCUGAGGAACAAACUCGUCUAGUCUGUAUCCAUUGUAAGAGAUUUCACCUGAAAACUGUGGAAACAAAAAGGAAAACAAAAGAAAAGGAGGACCAAGCAACAAUGUUAACCUGCAACAACAAGAAGCAUAAACACACUUAAAACAUUGAUCAAGACUAGUGAUAAGAUGAUAACUUUUUUGAUUACUCACAGAGAUUACGCGCUUAGCAGUGUUCCACAGUGUUGGAAGUGCUUUGCCUUCAACAAUCUCGCACUCGGCGGCC